CCUGAGAAACCCAAAAGAUCGAAUGGGGAGAUUCAUCGUCAGCGAUUUUGGUACGUGUGCGGCUCGCGAUGCCGGAGAUUUCGGUCUCCAGGCACGCGUCUGCAUGGUUUUUAUUGCCUCGAUCGUCGGCGUGCACUUCUCCCCUAGUAGGACGUCGCGACCCGUUGGGUGUCGGUCUACGGCUCGGGCGGUAGCCUGUCUCGUGUUCGCUUCGCGGCGUUACGCGGUUCAGACCCCCGAUUGCCCGACCGGCUGCUCGGCGGUACUCGCACGGUAUCUGGCCGCAAAUAUUCGAACUGCGUCCGGCCCGUCGCAAGCGAGGCAAGUGUUUUCCGGUUGUGCGGAUCUAAUGCCGUCACCGGGCCUUGCCAGCUGUUGGUUGACGGUGUCCUGGGACUGGCUAAUACAAUUAUGAUACCGGUCGGCGACGCUACUGCUUUGGGUACUUUCAGGACCCGUCUUGAAACACGGACCAAGGAGUCUAACAUGUGCGCGAGUCAUUGGGAUCUAUUAAGCCUAAAGGCGCAAUGAAAGUGAAGGUCGGCCUUGCGCCGACCGAGGGAGGAUGGGCCGCGUCACGAUGCGGUCCCGCACUCCCGGGGCGUCUCGUUCUCAUUUGNNGAAGAGGCGC
Molecule: ribosomal RNA, 631 nt
Filed under: Bentyra sp. NL389
Lineage: Eukaryota; Metazoa; Arthropoda; Insecta; Hymenoptera; Ichneumonidae
Description: eukaryotic LSU rRNA
Rfam family: Eukaryotic large subunit ribosomal RNA
Source: RNAcentral